This is a long non-coding RNA of Nicotiana attenuata, 523 nucleotides long. RefSeq lists it as uncharacterized. Lineage: Eukaryota; Viridiplantae; Streptophyta; Magnoliopsida; Solanales; Solanaceae. The record is from RefSeq and is a predicted model, not a curated record. The transcript has 2 exons.
AUUUUCUACAUAAAGCUAAUCUUUUCUGAUACCUCACAGCUUAACGUCAACCAUCCUUUAGCUCUUGUUAUCUAAUCCGGCAGAAGAAAAGAAGAGAAGUCUUGAAAAUGAGACUCGAUGUUCUUGUGUUAGUUAUUAUGGUGAUGAGUUCGUGCUUGGCUACAAGUAGGAGUGAGAAUAACGAGCAGCAGCCUAAUGGAGGUACCAGAACUAUGGAUAACCAUCAUCAUGUGAGUAGGCAGGAAUUCAAUAAUAAUAAUGGUGAUGGAGGUGCUACUCCUAAAGGAGAUAAUAUAGAUACUGGAAACAAUUAAGUUCUAACCCUAUAUAGUAGACUACUCUUAAAAUAAUGUAACAUAUUGAUAUGGUAUUUGUAAUAUGUAUAUGUGUUAGUGAAUGGGAAUAUGAUGUGGUCAAAGUUAAUCUCAAUGUUUGGCCUGGUGUAAAUUGAAUAUGGUAGUUAAUUAUGCUGCUGCUUUGGAUAAUAUUGUGAUGAAAGUUGUAGUAGGAGUUUAUGUUGAAA